AUUGAACGCUGGCGGCAUGCUUUACACAUGCAAGUCGAACGGCAGCGCGGGCUUCGGCCUGGCGGCGAGGGGCGGACGGGUGAGUAAUACAUCGGAACGUGCCCAGCUGCGUGGGAUAGCUCGGCGACAGCCGGAUUAAUACCGCAUACGACCAUACGGCGAAAGCGGGGGAGCUUCGGACCUUGCGCCAUUGCACCGGCCGAUGGCGGAUUAGCUAGUUGGUGGGGUAAAGGCCUACCAAGGCGACGAUCCGUAGCUGGUCUGAGAGGACGACCAGCCACACUGGAACUGAGACACGGCCCAGACUCCUACGGGAGGCAGCAGUGGGGAAUUUUGGACAAUGGGCGAAAGCCUGAUCCAGCAAUGCCGCGUGUGUGAUGAAGGCCUUCGGGUUGUAAAGCACUUUUGGCGGGAACGAAAAGGACUGUGCCAAUACCACGGUUCGAUGACGGUACCCGCAGAAUAAGCACCGGCUAACUACGUG
RNAcentral lists this ribosomal RNA (484 nucleotides) under uncultured bacterium. Its description in RNAcentral is "partial 16S ribosomal RNA". It matches the Rfam family "Bacterial small subunit ribosomal RNA", at positions 29 to 507 of the family's 1533-position model. The record is from RNAcentral.